AUUAAUGAAACUUCAAAGUCGGCUUAUGGUUGUUGCUGGUGGAUUCAUUUCACAUGUGCACGCCAUAGGUCGCAAUCCACACACACCUGUGCAUCUAUGACUCGAGGUUGUAACGACUGAGAGUAACUUUUACACACUCUUGUAUGUAACGGAAUGUCUUUUUGUGCAAUAAUGUACAUUAUAAACAACUUUCAACAACGGAUCUCUUGGCUCUCGCAUCGAUGAAGAACGCAGCGAAAUGCGAUAAGUAAUGUGAAUUGCAGAAUUCAGUGAAUCAUCGAAUCUUUGAACGCACCUUGCACCCUUUGGUAUUCCGAAGGGUACGCCCGUUUGAGCGUCAUUGUAAUCUCACUUCAACAACUUUUGUUGUUUGAAUGUGGACCUGGAUGUUGCCGUGUCAUAACGGCUCGUCUCAAAUGCCUGAGUGUACCCUGUUUUGCAGCGUAUCCAGUGUAAUAAACAUUUCACUAGAGUUGGUCGAAAGGCCGCGUUUUGCGAUUUGGGCUCUAUGCUUCAAACCGUCCUUUUUGGACAAACUACUUGACAAUUUGGCCUCAAAUCGGGUGGGACUACCC
RNAcentral lists this ribosomal RNA (575 nucleotides) under fungal sp. E15611H. RNAcentral's name for it is "eukaryotic LSU rRNA". The stretch from base 187 to 340 matches the Rfam family "5.8S ribosomal RNA". The record is from RNAcentral. Lineage: Eukaryota; Fungi.